Molecule: long non-coding RNA, 3377 nt
Filed under: Homo sapiens (human)
Lineage: Eukaryota; Metazoa; Chordata; Mammalia; Primates; Hominidae
Description: LNC_000809
Source: RNAcentral
UGGGGCUUGUUGCCUCCUUGUGGGGAUGGUCCUUGUGGAUUUCCUGGAGGACAAAGAGAGAAGAGAAAGACAGAGUAAAAGCCCACACAAGAUUCACUGAAUAGUUGCAGUAAAUUUUUAUCAGCUUGGGUAACAAGCUGAGUGGGGAAAUACACAAAAAUGGAACAAAGACAUUAAUUUAUUUGCAUUUUCAGUGAAGACAUAGAACUCUGGAGUGGAAAGCUGGGGAAGAACAAAGCAGUUGAGGGCCUCUCAGUAUAAAGAGGAGACAGAAUGAGGAUGCUGCCCAUUUCUGUCAUCUCCCAGCAGGCAUUCCUGGCCGGGGGGAUGAGGCAACACACUCCUGUUGUCAUCUAAGCCAAGCAUCUCUGCCAUUCAAUUUGGUGGCCUGCUCAUGAUGCCCAGAAUCAAGGUUGCACGAAGAGUGCCUAUAUUGUUAGGGGCACUAACAUUAAUCAACUCCUGAAAGGAAAGUUUUGAUAAGAAGACACUGGAGAACUGAUCCACUCAUAAGCAGAAAAAGACAGUCAAAACAGAUUGAGAACGAAUCAGGCUUUACCUGCUAUUAGGGAGGGAGAUUCUUCCUGGCUGACAUCUAGAAGAGAAGCACAGGAUGAUGGGAAAAGUUACAUCUUGAACCUUUCAAGACUCACAAGUGUUCUACAGGGAAAAGGGUCUUCUCAUGACACCCCAUGCAUCCCCUAAGUUAACUAGUCAGCCACCAUCUGUGAAGCUGCUGGAAGGGGAGGAAGGUGUAAGGGGAGACAGGGUUGUUAUGACAGAGCAACAGCCAUGAACUCAACAUAGAAGAGCCCCUUUUUUCCCUCCCUAGCAUCCCUCAAGACUUAAUGCUAAUUUAGUUCACACAUGCCAGGUACUUCAAUGUGAUACUUUGGUGUUCUUAUGCCCUCCAUUUCCUAUAAAUACAUUGCUUAUGUACACAUGCUUUCUCAAUUGGGGUAACCAGAAGUAAUCACUUCAAUACAAUCUUACCCAUACCACUCCCAGCACAUUGAAAUACUGCGUGUAAGGGAGAGAAAAAUGACAAUGAUUGGCUCUGAUAUUUCUGUAUCUCUAGUUAAACAGAGACAAGUGUUCCAUCCAAUUCUCUGUCUCUGCAGUAUCUCUGAUACUGUGUGUGUUUAUCGCCAUCAUCGAUGCUGAUGCACUGUACAGCAAGGCCACCAUCAUCCCUGUGUACUUACUGAGAUCAGUUUAGGAUCUUCACAGCUGGACUUCCAUGAAUCUGCCUUGCAUUCUCUACUGCAUCCUUCACAGCACAGUUCUAUCUAUAAAUGCAAAUCUUACCUUCUCAUUCCCCUGGAACAAAUUCUUUAUUGGAUUUCAUUGUACAUUAAAUAAAUUAGAAACCCUUAGUGUGGAAUGAGGGUACAACAGGUCUCCUGAUCCUAGGCAUGAAAACUCUGCAGCCCCAUCUGUGUUUUCAUUCUCCUCUCCUCCCCGUAAUUACCAUUAUCACCUCCUAAGCCCCAAGCAGAGUCACCACAUCUUUUCCCUCUUCUGUUUUACCUUCAUUUAAGUUCUGAGCUGAGCUCAGGGCCAGCAAGGCCACUGACAGCAGAAUCAACAGCAUCUUGCAGGAGGCUCUGGAGUCACUCCCAACUCUGUGCUGGGAGGAACGUGGCAACUCCCUUUAUAAAGAGGAGAAGAACAAUGGCACCUUUGAGCUCCACACUGGGUGGGCCUCACCACCUCAGAGACCUUGAGGUUUGUUGCCUCCUUGUGGGGGUGCUCCUUGUGGAUUUCCUGGAGAACAAAGAGAGAAGAGAAAGACAGAGUAAAAGCCCAUACAAGAUUCCCUGAAUAGUUGCAGUAAAUUUUUAUCAGUUUGGGUAACAAGCUGAGUGGGGAAACACACAAAAAUGAGACCAAGACAUUAAUUUCUUUGCAUUUCAGUGAAGACAUAGAACUCUGGAGUGGAGCGCCAGGGAAGAACAAAGCAGUUGAGGGCCUCUCAUUAUAAAGAGGAGACAGAAUGAGGAUGCUGCCCAUUUGUCUGUCAUCUCCCAGCAGGCACUCCUGGCCAGGGGGAUGAGGUAACCCACUCCUGCUGUCAUCUAAGCCAAGCAUCUCUGCCGUUCAAUUUGGUGGCCUGCUCAUGAUGCCCAGAAUCAAGGUUGCAUGAAGAGUGCCUAUAUUAUUAGGAGCACUAACAUUAAUCAAUUCCCGAAAGGAAAGUUUUGAUAAGAAGACACUGGAGAACUGAUCCAUUCAUAAGCAGAAAAAGACAGUCAGAACAGAUUGAGAAUGAAUCGGGAUUUACCUGCUAUUAGGGAGGGAGAUUCUUCCUGGCUGACAUCUAGAAGAGAAGCACAGGAUGAUGGGAACAGUUACAUCUUGAACCUUACAAGACUCACAAGUGUUCUACAGGGAAAACAGACUUCUCACCACACCCCAUGCAUCCCCUAAGUUAACUCAUCAGCCACCAUCUGUGAAGCUGCUGGAAGGGGAGGAAGGUGUAAGGGGAGGCAGGGUUGUUAUGACAGAGCAACAGCCAUGAACUCAACAUAGAAGAGCCCCUUUUUUCCCUCCCUAGCAUCCCUCAAGACUUAAUGCUAAUUUAGUUCACAAAUGCCAGGUACUUCAAUGUGAUAUUUUGGUGUUCUUAUGCCCUCCAUCUCCUAUAAAUACAUUGCUUAUGUACACAUGCUUUCUCAAUUGGGGUAACCAGAAGUAAUCAUUUCAAUACAAUCUUACCCAUACCACUCCCAGCACAUUGAAAUACUGCGUGUAAGGGAGAGAAAAAUGACAAUGAUUGGCUCUGAUAUUUCUGUAUCUCUAGUUAAACAGAGACAAGUGUUCCAUCCAAUUCUCUGUCUCUGCAGUAUCUCUGAUACUGUGUGUGUCUAUCGCCGUCAUCGAUGCUGAUGCACUGUACAGCAAGGCCACCAUCAUCCCUGUGUACUUACUGAGAUCAGUUUAGGAUCUUCACAGCUGGACUUCCAUGAAUCUGCCUUGCAUUCUCUACUGCAUCCUUCACAGCACAGUUCUAUCUAUAAAUGCAAAUCUUACCUUCUCAUUCCCCUGGAACAAAUUCUUUAUUGGAUUUCAUUGUACAUUAAAUAAAUUAGAAACUCUUAUUGUGGAAUGAGGGCACAACAAGUCUCCUGAUCCUAGGCAUGAAAACUCUGCAGCCCCAUCUGUGUUUUCAUUCUCCUCUCUUCCCCGUAAUUACCAUUAUCACCUCCUAAGCCCCAAGCAGAGUCACCACAUCUUCUCCCCCUUCUGUUUUACCUUCAUUUAAGUUCUGAGCUGAGCUCAGGGCCAGCAAGGCCACUGACAGCAGAAUCAACAGCAUCUUGCAGGAGGCUCUGGAGUCACUCCCAACUCUGUGCUGGGAGGAACGUGGCAACUCC